This 790-nucleotide unclassified non-coding RNA is filed under the name Hevea brasiliensis (rubber tree). The record is from RNAcentral. Lineage: Eukaryota; Viridiplantae; Streptophyta; Magnoliopsida; Malpighiales; Euphorbiaceae.
AAUUAGCUGUGAUCAGCUCACCUGAAGUACUCUCAGGGCUCUUGGAUGUCUCAAGAAACAACAACCUGGAAGAAAUUAUUGCUCUGGCAGCUGUUCUUAUCAGAUGUAUGCAAUUCGACGGUCAAUGCAGAAAACAGAUAAACCAUUCUGCUCCACUGGCUCCAUUUAUCUCUCUUUUGAGAAGCAAUUAUGAGCGUGCAACGUCAAUUGCAUUGGAGUUUUUCCAUGAACUGCUGAGAAUUCCAAGGUCAUCAGCCAUUGAGGUGCUGCAGAAAAUACAACAAGACGGAAGCAACAACAAUAAGUGUGCAUUAUUACUUCUCAUCCAAAAGUCACAACCUGAGUACAAAAUUUUGGCAGCGAAUUUGUUGCUUCAGUUAGACAUGCUGGAAGAAACAUCAGGUAAAUUUGUAUAUUGUGAAGAGGCUAUGGAAGCUCUACUCGAGUCAGUAUCGUGUGAAGAGAAUUCUGCAACACAGGCUCUAUCAGCAUUCAUCCUAUCAAACCUUGGUGGAACCUUCUCUUGGUCAGGAGAACCUUACACAAUACCAUGGUUGCUUAAAAAGGCCGGUUUGACUUCCUUGCCACACAAGAACAUGAUAAAGAAUGUUGACUUUUCGGAUAAAUGUCUACAGGACAAUGGCAUAGAGACAUGGUGUAGCAAAGUAGCGAGGCGCUUCUUAAAGUUUGGAAGUCCUCUAUUCCAUGCUUUAGAGAAAGGACUUGAGAGCGAAUCAAGAAGUACCUCCCGAGAUUAUCUUGCUGCUACUGCAUGGCUGGGGUCUGAAAU